UACGUAGGGUGCGAGCGUUGUCCGGAAUUAUUGGGCGUAAAGGGCUCGUAGGCGGUCUGUCACGUCGGGAGUGAAAUCCCGGGGCUUAACCCCGGGCGUGCAGUGGAUACGGGCAGGCUGGAGGCAGGCAGGGGAGAACGGAAUUCCCGGUGUAGCGGUGAAAUGCGCAGAUAUCGGGAAGAACACCCGUGGCGAAGGCGGCACUCUGGGACGGUACUGACGCUGAGACGCGAAAGCGUGGGGAGCGAACAGG
This 253-nucleotide ribosomal RNA is filed under the name uncultured bacterium. RNAcentral describes it as "partial 16S ribosomal RNA". It matches the Rfam family "Bacterial small subunit ribosomal RNA", at positions 524 to 776 of the family's 1533-position model. The record is from RNAcentral.